AGUGAACGCUGGCGGUAGGCCUAACACAUGCAAGUCGAACGGCAGCACAGUAAGAGCUUGCUCUUACGGGUGGCGAGUGGCGGACGGGUGAGGAAUACAUCGGAAUCUACUUUUUCGUGGGGGAUAACGUAGGGAAACUUACGCUAAUACCGCAUACGACCUACGGGUGAAAGCAGGGGAUCUUCGGACCUCGCGCGAUUGAAUGAGCCGAUGUCGGAUUAGCUAGUUGGCGGGGUAAAGGCCCACCAAGGCGACGAUCCGUAGCUGGUCUGAGAGGAUGAUCAGCCACACUGGAACUGAGACACGGUCCAGACUCCUACGGGAGGCAGCAGUGGGGAAUAUUGGACAAUGGGCGCAAGCCUGAUCCAGCCAUACCGCGUGGGUGAAGAAGGCCUUCGGGUUGUAAAGCCCUUUUGUUGGGAAAGAAAAGCAGCAGGUUAAUACCCCGCUGUUCUGACGGUACCCAAAGAAUAAGCACCGGCGAACUUCGU
This 491-nucleotide ribosomal RNA is filed under the name uncultured bacterium. Its description in RNAcentral is "partial 16S ribosomal RNA". It matches the Rfam family "Bacterial small subunit ribosomal RNA", at positions 29 to 506 of the family's 1533-position model. The record is from RNAcentral.